AAUCAUUCAGAUGAGUCGUCAGUAGUUCAAAACAGCGACGCAACAAGUUCUGCAGAUGAGGUUUUCGAGUAUCCGAGACAAACGAAAGGGUAUGGCUCUGUUGGUCA
This 107-nucleotide small RNA is filed under the name Drosophila pseudoobscura. RNAcentral's name for it is "partial mlncRNA102B1-1". The record is from RNAcentral. Lineage: Eukaryota; Metazoa; Arthropoda; Insecta; Diptera; Drosophilidae.